UACGUAGGGGGCAAGCGUUGUCCGGAUUUAUUGGGCGUAAAGAGCGUGUAGGCGGUUCGGUAGGUCCGUUGUGAAAACUCGAGGCUCAACCUCGAGACGCCGAUGGAAACCCUCGAACUAGAGUCCGGAAGAGGAGAAUGGAAUUCCUGGUGUAGCGGUGAAAUGCGUAGAUAUCAGGAGGAACACCAGUGGUGUAGACGGCGUUCUGGACGAGUACUGACGCUGAGAUACGAAAGCGUGGGGAGCAAACAGG
This 253-nucleotide ribosomal RNA is filed under the name uncultured bacterium. RNAcentral's name for it is "partial 16S ribosomal RNA". It matches the Rfam family "Bacterial small subunit ribosomal RNA", at positions 524 to 776 of the family's 1533-position model. The record is from RNAcentral.